GGUGAACGCUGGCGGCGUGCCUAAUACAUGCAAGUCGAGCGAACGGACGAGAAGCUUGCUUUUCUGAUGUUAGCGGCGGACGGGUGAGUAACACGUGGAUAACCUACCUAUAAGACUGGGAUAACUUCGGGAAACCGGAGCUAAUACCGGAUAAUAUUUUGAACCGCAUGGUUCAUAAGUGAAAGACGGUCUUGCUGUCACUUAUAGAUGGAUCCGCGCUGCAUUAGCUAGUUGGUAAGGUAACGGCUUACCAAGGCAACGAUGCAUAGCCGACCUGAGAGGGUGAUCGGCCACACUGGAACUGAGACACGGUCCAGACUCCUACGGGAGGCAGCAGUAGGGAAUCUUCCGCAAUGGGCGAAAGCCUGACGGAGCAACGCCGCGUGAGUGAUGAAGGUCUUCGGAUCGUAAAACUCUGUUAUUAGGGAAGAACAUAUGUGUAAGUAACUGUGCACAUCUUGACGGUACCUAAUCAGAAAGCCACGGCUAACUACGUG
Molecule: ribosomal RNA, 497 nt
Filed under: uncultured bacterium
Lineage: Bacteria
Description: partial 16S ribosomal RNA
Rfam family: Bacterial small subunit ribosomal RNA
Source: RNAcentral